This 1275-nucleotide long non-coding RNA is filed under the name Callithrix jacchus (white-tufted-ear marmoset). RNAcentral's name for it is "lncRNA (ENSCJAG00000072345.1)". The record is from RNAcentral. Lineage: Eukaryota; Metazoa; Chordata; Mammalia; Primates; Cebidae.
AUUAUACAUAAAGGCACACAGACAGUAAAGAGAUGAAAAAGGUAUAUAAUAAAGUAUAUACAUAUAUAUAAUUAUAUAUGUAAAAAAUAUACUUUUUAUACAAAUAUACCUUAUGUACCUUAGACUGAAGAUAGAUAUAUGUAUCUACAGGCCCUGUGCAAGUCUGAAAUCCAGCCCUGCUGACUAGUGUCCUUAUAAGAAGAGAAAACUGAACACACAGACAGCCUGGAGUGCACACACACAGAAGAAAGACCAUAUGAGGACACAGUGAAGAUGGCCAUCUGCCAGCAAAUGAAAGAGGUCUCAGAAGAAACAACACUGCCAACAAUUUGAUCUUGGACUUCCAGCCUCUGAAACUGUGGCCAUUCCUGCCCAGAAAACAGACAGUUUUCAAGAGAAAAAAGGGAGAAAAAGACUACAGAAAAUUACGUUACUGGGGUUUUGAGAAACUGACCCAGUGGAAUAAAAAUGAGAAGAAAAUGUUGAAGCAAGAUAAAAGCCAGCGCCAACUCUCAACCAUGCGAGUGAAGCCAUUGUGGAUCUUCCAGCUCUCCCAGAGACCUAACCAACAACACAAGAAACAGAAUUGCCUGUCAACCCACAGAAUUCUGAAAAAUAAUAAACUGUUGUUUUAAGUCACUGAGAUAGAGGGAAGUUUGCUUUGUAUAACAGAUAACCGCAGUGAUGGAUGUCCAGAUCUCUCCCCUAGUAGUCUCUGUAUUUUACUAUGCUGUCUUCUGCUCAUUCUCCUUUCUCCUACUUCUCAUUUGUUCAGUUAACCAAUGCUUUUUAAAGCAUUUAAAAUAUUCCAGAAGCUGCCAAUUCAAAGGUUAAUAAAAACACUUCUUAUCACUCUCAUCAACCUCAUAAUCAAGAAUAGGAAAUAGACUAAAGAAUUGUCACACAUUUUGACCAAAGUACUAAUGUAACAAUGUACAGAAGAGGUAAAUAGAAGGAGUGUGUGUGUUUAUGUGUGUCUGUGCAUGUGUGUAUUUUUAAUGGUUAUAGAAUCACACAUGGGAGAGGAAGAGAAGGUAUUAUGAAGGAAGUGGUGCCUGAACAUUAUCAUAAAUUACAUACCAGUCAGAAGAAGGCAAUGGAAGAGUAAUGUAAAUUCACUAUUAUCCCUUUCUCAAAUGUAUUACUUUUGAAUUUUUGCAUCACUAACUACUCAAAUAAUACAUACAGAUGUAUGAUUAUAUUAAUGUGUACAUUUACCUUGAUUAUAUCACUAAAGUUAUCAUUCUCAAUAAAAAGAAUAUUAGAAGAUAAAAC